RNAcentral lists this ribosomal RNA (206 nucleotides) under uncultured bacterium. RNAcentral's name for it is "partial 16S ribosomal RNA". It matches the Rfam family "Bacterial small subunit ribosomal RNA", at positions 568 to 774 of the family's 1533-position model. The record is from RNAcentral.
CUCGUAGGCGGUUCGUCGCGUCCGGUGUGAAAGUCCAUCGCUUAACGGUGGAUCCGCGCCGGGUACGGGCGGGCUGAGUGCGGUAGGGGAGACUGGAAUUCCCGGUGUAACGGUGGAAUGUGUAGAUAUCGGGAAGAACACCAAUGGCGAAGGCAGGUCUCUGGGCCGUCACUGACGCUGAGGAGCGAAAGCGUGGGGAGCGAACA